This 2172-nucleotide long non-coding RNA is filed under the name Anolis carolinensis (green anole). RNAcentral's name for it is "lncRNA (ENSACAG00000039521.1)". The record is from RNAcentral. Lineage: Eukaryota; Metazoa; Chordata; Lepidosauria; Squamata; Anolidae.
AUGCCGGCUGAGAUCUUUUGGCACGGCACCCAGUGUGCCCAUCACCACCGGGACCACCUGCACUGGUUUCUGCCAGAGUCUUUGAAGUUCAAUCUUGAGGUCCUGAUAGCGGCUGAGUUUUUCCUGUUGUUUUUCGUCAAUGCGACUGUCACCUGGGAUGGCAACAUCAAUGAUCCAAACCUUUUUCUUUUCCACAACUGUGAUGUCUGGUGUGUUGUGUUCCAGAACUUUGUCAGUCUGGAUUCGGAAGUCCCAAAGUAUCUUUGCGUGCUCAUUUUCCAAUACUUUUGCAGGUUUGUGAUCCCACCAGUUAUUAUUAUUAUUAUUAUUGUUAUUAUUAUUCAGGCAUGGUCAACAUCCCAUUUCUAGUGCUAAAGAGCCAUUCAGAUGCCAGGUCAAUUACUAUGGUGACCCUUUGGGUUUGGUUCCAGGGCACCACCUCCCACUCCGAGAAUACCAAAAUCUGUUGAUGUUCAAGUCCCAUUAUAUACAAUGGCAUAGUAAAAUGGUGCACCUUAUAUAAAAUGGUAGAUUUAAGGUUUUCUUUUUUGAAUGGUUUCUUUUGGAAUAUUUUUAAGCCCAGGAUGGUUGAAUAUGUGGAUAUGAAGAGCCGAGGGCAUAUGUCAACUGCGAAAAAGAUGGUCCUUUCACCCAGCCAGCAAAAUAUUUUAAGUUGAUCUUGCAGAAAGCUAUUAAUCUGAGUUCUUCUUGUUGUUGUACUGAAAAUCUUCCCAUCUUCUUAGCUAUAAAUGUCAGCAUGAACAAGCACAGGCCAUUAAAUGAGAGCGAACACACACACAGGUGUACAGUAAAAUACACACUGAGGUCUGUUGGACUGUACCACCUCAGACUGUAGAUGGGAGCUCACAAGACUGAACAGUCCUAUAAAUCUGUUGCCACUACAUCAAAAGUGUGGGAAACUGAAGUCGAGGCUAGUAUGUUUUUUGUCUUCACAUGCUUUUUGUGUGCAGGAGUGUGUUUAUGUAUGAGUAUAUGAAAGAGAGUGGUGGAGAAGGAAUCCCAAAUAGUGUCUGGGAAGGUAUGCCUUAUUGGAGUUUGGAGAUCCAAAGGCUUUCGAAAAUCCAGAGGAGCCCAACUGCAUGGCAAGUGCCCACUGGAGGUUGGCUUUGGGGCCAAAUUAAUAUACAGUAGAGUCUCACUUAUCCAAGCUAAACGGGCCAGCAGAAGCUUGGAUAAGAGAAUAUCUUGGAUAAUAAGGAGGGAUUAAGGAAAAGCCUAUUAAACAUCAAAUUAGGUUAUGAUUUUACAAAUGAAGCACCAAAACAUGUUAUACAACAAAUUUGACAGAAAAAGUAGUUCAAUACGCAGUAAUGUUAUGUUGUAAUUACUGUAUUUAAGAAUUUAACACCAAAAUAUCACGAUAUAUUGAAAACAUUGACUACAAAAAUGGCUUGGAUAAUCCAGAAGCUUGGAUAAGUGAGACUCUACUGUACUUGCAAUGAAAAAAAAUUAGAAAAACCAGCACUGAUAUUAACCUUGCCUAUAAUAACAGACAGGCAACUUUUUAUUGAUGAAUCCAGAAUCACAGAAUAUCUCAGACAGGUGUAUGAUCCAUCCUGUACAUCCUUGCGUAGUCAAAUCCUCUUCUGUAUGUUUAGUCAAAAGCAGGAACUACUUUCAUGAAAGAUGUGAGCAUAGGAUUAAUUUUUGACAUCAUUAAAUGGCUUAAUGUGACUGGGCCAUUCCUUGCUUGGGCCAUUUACCAUUUUUCCAUCUUUAUUUUCAGGAACAAAAAUUGGUGACAAAAGGUAGUUUCUAGUGUAUUACACUUCCAUGAAAGUCAACAUUGACACUGAAAUGCAACACUGCCUGAGCUCUGCGAGUGCAGCAUUUUUCCAAAUGAAACAGAGUGUUUGAGGAUCAGGACAUCUGUAGGGAUACCAAGAAGCUUGUUUAUAAAGCUAUUGUCCUCUCAACUCUGUUGUAUGCCUGCAAAGCGUGGACUGUUUACAGAUGUCACACUCAAUUCCUGGAACGAUUCCAUCAAUGUUGCCUCCAAAAAUCCUGCAGAUCUCUUGGGGAAGACAUGCUGGAAGAAGCAAAGACCACCAGCAUUGAAGCGAUGCCCUUAAGCCAUCAACUCCGCUGGACUGGCCACAUUGUCUAAAUGUCCGAUCACCGUUUUCCAAAGCAGUUAGGAUACUCCCAACU